Molecule: long non-coding RNA, 2284 nt
Filed under: Pogona vitticeps (central bearded dragon)
Lineage: Eukaryota; Metazoa; Chordata; Lepidosauria; Squamata; Agamidae
Description: lncRNA (ENSPVIG00000019144.1)
Source: RNAcentral
GGAAAACAUCUCCAGAGAAGCAAAGCAAAGGCGCCACUAAAUCCCAGAGAGGUUCCCGUCCCUCCAUCACAUGUAUUUCUUAGUGGUGUGACCUCAUUACUCCAAUUGCUUCCUUUGACUUAGAAACAGUAUUGUCACAAUUGUACACAAGACAGAGCUUUUUCAGUGUUGGUCCCUAGUUUGACGAACUUUCUUUCAGUGUUGGCCUAUUAGACUCCAUCAUGCUGGGGACUCAUGUGAUAAGUAAUGAAGGCUUUUUUCAAAAGAUGUUGAGGAUGGCAGAAAAAUCCUUGCUCUGAACCACAGGGUUCCUGCUUUAUGGAGGUAAAGACCUAAAUGUGAAUGUGUAUGAACUGAACACCUGCUAAAAUGCCAGAAUCUGCAAAUGCUUUUCAUUAUUGGAUUAGGAUUUGAAAUGGUUUGGGAUGUCAUGCAUAGCCCACCUAUUCUGGAGUUGUUCCAUGACAGCCCAUGGCACUACUUUAAGAAAGUGAACGUCCUUCACUGCUUUCAUUUCCUGACUAAAUACUACCACAGACGUGAUGGGAAAUACAGUUAUGUGAGCGAGCAAGACAAACGCACAAGUGUUCACUCAGCAGCAGCAAGAGUGAAGCGACCCACAGGCAUGGAGAUCUCACUAUCCUGACAGCGCCCUUCCAAAAGUUCAAAUACCUUGAAGACUUCAGAACAAGGACUUGUGAAGAAUUCUUCCUUCAGCCUCUGGAGGUAGUCUGGCAGGAUUUAUGGGAGAAGGGAUUGUUCCCUUCGGGCUUGCACUAACAGAAGCUGCUUCCAAGGCCACAAUUACAGUGCUGGAUUUGGCUCACUGUGCCUUACCCCAGGUGAUUUUUUGGCAAAGACAAGGCCUAGAACCCCUUGCCAAGAAAGGCUAUAUGGGCUUCCACUGUUGUCAUUCUGCCAGCAAGCAAUGACAUUCUUAUUCAUACCAACUUAGACUGGUCUUCUGUUCAAAGUCUGGACUGGCUGAGAGUGGACGUUGAUUUCCAAGGUUGUGUUUUAAAAUGUCGGUGUAUUUGGGCCCAGAAAAAGACAGGAUUUUAGGGUGAAACUUAGUAUAUAGCUGAUUCAGUGCUCACCGUAAUCCUCUUGAAGACAUCCAAGGUCCUGAUGACAUUCUUAUUCAUACCAACUUAGACUGGUCUUCUGUUCAAAGUCUGGACUGGCUGAGAGUGGACGUUGAUUUCCAAGGUUGUGUUUUAAAAUGUCGGUGUAUUUGGGCCCAGAAAAAGACAGGAUUUUAGGGUGAAACUUAGUAUAUAGCUGAUUCAGUGCUCACCGGAAUCCUCUUGAAGACAUCCAAGGUCCUGACGAUGAAGAAAUCUCUGAUCCAUGGGGGAAGGAAGGAUGUUUAGCUAGUAGUUUUUUGUGGAGUUUUUUUUUUUGUCUUUUUGUCUCAUUAAUUAUAUGUUAGAUUGUUAAUGUGUUUAAGUUUGUAUAUUAUAAUUUUAAAUGUUGUUUAAAAGUUUAAAAAUGUUGGUGUAUCUAGCUCUUGAUCUAGAUCAAUAAUGUCAUGUUUUAAAUCCUCAUCUGGGUGGAGAAGACAGCAUGAAUUAUGGUUAUUCCAAAUGACAGUAGUGUUAGGUUUAGUGUGGGUGAUCAUGGAACAAAGGGAUGGCUAAUUGCCUUAAAGAGAAAACAAAGGAGUCGACAGCAAGUGUCCAAGCCAGCGGAGCCUACAGGCAACACCCCGAGGGCUAUUUUUAUUGGCUUAGCAUGAUUACAUAGUAUGUUAUGAGAGAAACAGAUAGGAUACUAGUUAUCUAAUCGUUACUAGGAUUGCCUAAAUUAACCCUUUGUUCUUCUGAUCUACCGCUAAGCGAAAGGGCAGAAGAAGGGGCCAUCCUGCCUGCUGGCAGCUGCCGCAUCUUGCCAGGAGUGUAUGCACGUCACUGGAACAGAAUGCAGCUACAACCUUUAGGCAGGAGUUUCCCACAGUUUAGAACUAGUGGACAGGUAACAUUACUCACCUUGUGUUUCCCAAAAUGUCCCAGAAGGCCACUAUUGCCCUCAAAUUGCACCAGUCUGCUGAUGAACAGAGUAAUCAUUUCCGCUUUUUGGUCUCAGGGCCUUGUUUAAAAAGGCACAGGACAUUUUAAUCACUUUGUAAAUCUAGUUCUGUGUGAAUUCUGCAACAAAACCUGACAAAAUCUAGGUUUCGUUUUAAAUCUGUAUUUCAUUACAGGCCUUCAACGCCUUUUUUAUGGGAAAAGCAAGAAAUAACUAAGAAAAUAAAUGCACAAAACAGAAUUGUUUAAAAGAAAUA